GACGAACGCUGGCGGCGUGCCUAAUACAUGCAAGUCGAACGCUUCUUUCCUCCCGAGUGCUUGCACUCAAUUGGAAAGAGGAGUGGCGGACGGGUGAGUAACACGUGGGUAACCUACCCAUCAGAGGGGGAUAACACUUGGAAACAGGUGCUAAUACCGCAUAACAGUUUAUGCCGCAUGGCAUAAGAGUGAAAGGCGCCUUCGGGUGUCGCUGAUGGAUGGACCCGCGGUGCAUUAGCUAGUUGGUGAGGUAACGGCUCACCAAGGCCACGAUGCAUAGCCGACCUGAGAGGGUGAUCGGCCACACUGGGACUGAGACACGGCCCAGACUCCUACGGGAGGCAGCAGUAGGGAAUCUUCGGCAAAGGACGAAAGUCUGACCGAGCAACGCCGCGUGAGUGAAGAAGGUUUUCGGAUCGUAAAACUCUGUUGUUAGAGAAGAACAAGGACGUUAGUAACUGAACGUCCCCUGACGGUAUCUAACCAGAAAGCCACGGCUAACUACGUG
This 508-nucleotide ribosomal RNA is filed under the name uncultured bacterium. Its description in RNAcentral is "partial 16S ribosomal RNA". It matches the Rfam family "Bacterial small subunit ribosomal RNA", at positions 28 to 507 of the family's 1533-position model. The record is from RNAcentral.